AGGCCCCAAAGAGUCUGAUGUUUACAAGACCAGAAAUGCCACGGCCGCGUCCUGGCAGAGAAAAGGCUGAAAUGGAGGACCGGCGCCUUCCUUAUAAGUAUGCACAUUGGCGAGAGAAGUGCUGCAACCUAAACCAGCAAUUACACCCAAGCUCGUUGGGGCCUAAGCCAGUACCGACCUGGUAGAAAAAGCAACCACGAAGCUAGAGAGAGAGCCAGAGGAGGGAAGAGAGCGCCAGACGAAGGUGAAAGCGAACCACGCAGAGAAAUGCAGGCAAGGGAGCAAGGCGGCAGUUCCCGGAACAAACGUGGCAGAGGGCAAGACGGGCACUCACAGACAGAGGUUUAUGUAUUUUUAUUUUUUAAAAUCUGAUUUGGUGUUCCAUGAGGAAAAGGGAAAAUCUAGGGAACGGGAGUACAGAGAGAAUAAUCCGGGUCCUAGCUCGCCACAUGAACGCCCAGAGAACGCUGGAAAAACCUGAGCGGGUGCCGGGGCAGCACCCGGCUCGGGUCAGCCACUGCCCCACACCGGGCCCACCAAGCCCCGCCCCUCGCGGCCACCGGGGCUUCCUUGCUCUUCUUAUCAUCUCCAUCUUUAUGAUGAGGCUUGUUAACAAGACCAGAGAGCUGGCCAAGCACCUCUAUCUCAGCCGCGCCCGCUCAGCCGAGCAGCGGUCGGUGGGGGGACUGGGAGGCGCUAAUUAAUUGAUUCCUUUGGACUGUAAAAUAUGGCGGCGUCUACACGGAACCCAUGGACUCAUAAACAAUAUAUCUGUUGGGCG
This 781-nucleotide long non-coding RNA is filed under the name Homo sapiens (human). RNAcentral describes it as "HOX transcript antisense RNA variant G1.21". Lineage: Eukaryota; Metazoa; Chordata; Mammalia; Primates; Hominidae. The record is from RNAcentral.